GUCCAGACUCCUACGGGAGGCAGCAGUGGGGAAUAUUGCACAAUGGGGGAAACCCUGAUGCAGCGACGCCGCGUGAGUGAAGAAGUAUUUCGGUAUGUAAAGCUCUAUCAGCAGGGAAGAAGAAGGACGGUACCUGAGUAAGAAGCCCCGGCUAACUACGUGCCAGCAGCCGCGGUAAUACGUAGGGGGCAAGCGUUAUCCGGAUUUACUGGGUGUAAAGGGAGCGUAGACGGCGAAGAAAGUCUGAAGUGAAAGCCCGCGGCUCAACCGCGGAAUGGCUUUGGAAACUUUUUUGCUGGAGUACCGGAGAGGUAAGCGGAAUUCCUAGUGUAGCGGUGAAAUGCGUAGAUAUUAGGAGGAACACCAGUGGCGAAGGCGGCUUGCUGGACAGAGACUGACGUUGAGGCUCGAAAGCGUGGGGAGCAAACAGGAUUAGAUACCCUGGUA
This 447-nucleotide ribosomal RNA is filed under the name uncultured bacterium. RNAcentral describes it as "partial 16S ribosomal RNA". It matches the Rfam family "Bacterial small subunit ribosomal RNA", at positions 329 to 792 of the family's 1533-position model. The record is from RNAcentral.